RNAcentral lists this unclassified non-coding RNA (150 nucleotides) under soil metagenome. RNAcentral's name for it is "partial internal transcribed spacer 1". The record is from RNAcentral.
CCGAGUUAUACAACUCAUCAACCCUGUGAACAUACCUAUAACGUUGCCUCGGCGGGAACAGACGGCCCCGUAACACGGGCCGCCCCCGCCAGAGGACCCCCUAACUCUGUUUCUAUAAUGUUCCUUCUGAGUAAACAAGCAAAUAAAUUA